RNAcentral lists this ribosomal RNA (777 nucleotides) under uncultured Neocallimastigales. Its description in RNAcentral is "partial large subunit ribosomal RNA". It matches the Rfam family "Eukaryotic large subunit ribosomal RNA", at positions 22 to 628 of the family's 3401-position model. Lineage: Eukaryota; Fungi; Neocallimastigomycota; Neocallimastigomycetes; Neocallimastigales. The record is from RNAcentral.
GUACACGCUGUGACUAGCAUAUCAAUAAGCGGAGGAAAAGAAACUAACAAGGAUUCCCCUAGUAACAGGCGAGUGAAGCGGGAAGAGCUCAAAUUUGAAAUCUUAAAGGGUUUCCCUUUACGAAUUGUAGUUUAAAGAAGUGUUUUCUGUUGAGGUUUUGGUAAAAGUUCUUUGGAAUAGGACAUCAUAGAGGGUGAGAAUCCCGUAUUUGACCUUUACUAUUCAACUUUGUGAUACACUUUCAAAGAGUCGGAUUGUUUGGGAAUGCAGUCCAAAAUGGGUGGUAAGUUUCAUCUAAAGCUAAAUAUUGGCGAGAGACCGAUAGCGAACAAGUACCGUGAGGGAAAGAUGAAAAGAACUUUGAAAAGAGAGUUAAACAGUACGUGAAAUUGUCAAAAGGGAAGCGUUUGACACCAGUGUUGUUUUUCCUGAAAAUCAAUUAAAGAACUGUUUAUGCUAAGUUGUUUAGACUUUAUCAGCUAACUGUUUAGUUUUGAGCUUUUCUUUAAUGCACUUUUCAGUUAACAAGUCAACAUCAAUUUCUUUUGCUGUAAAAAAGCUUGAGGAAGGUGGCUUGAGAUUCGUCUUAAGUGUUUAUAGCCUCUUGCCUAUGCAGUCGGAGAGAUUGAGGUCUGCAGCGUAGAUCCUUCGGGGCUAAAUGCAUUUGUGCUAAGUUAUAGCAUUUUAUAGACAACUUGUUGACUAUGAUUUGUCUUGUAGCUUACUCGCUUAUGUUAUUUUACCUACGCUUAGGAUGUUGAGUCGUAGAGCACGCAG